GACGAACUGUCCUAACGUUGUUCGGAAUCACUGGGCUUAAAGGGCGCGUAGGCGGUCGAUCAAGUCAGGGGUGAAAUCCUACAGCUUAACUGUAGAAGUGCCUUUGAUACUGGUUGUCUUGAGGGAGGUAGGGGUGUGUGGAACUCACAGUGGAGCGGUGAAAUGCGUAGAUAUCGGGAGGAACACCAGUGGCGAAGGCGGGUCUCUGGGCCGAUACUGACGCUGAGGAGCGAAAGCGUGGGGAGCGAACAGG
RNAcentral lists this ribosomal RNA (253 nucleotides) under uncultured bacterium. RNAcentral describes it as "partial 16S ribosomal RNA". It matches the Rfam family "Bacterial small subunit ribosomal RNA", at positions 524 to 776 of the family's 1533-position model. The record is from RNAcentral.